UUAGUUGAGGUUAGUUCCGGGAGCCUGGAAGGCUGGGUUCGGUACGGUGUAAGUUGUUAGUGGUCCUAUAAACCCCAACAACAACAACAACAACACUGCUGAGCUCAUCUAUACUCAUUCUCUUCCCAGAAGAGCCAUACUGUGUGACAGCCUGGAGAAGCAGAAACCUUAAUUCAAUCUUUCUCCAGAAGAAUUUUAACAUCAAGUUUCAACCAUUCAUCAUCUACCAUUCAUCUACAAGUUUCAACCCGUGUGUCAGCUGCAGUUAUGCUGGAGAUGUUGUGUCAGCAGUCAGUGUUGUGAAGGUCAAUAUGGUGUCAUAGAUGUUCUCAAUACUCUAGCUAUUACAUCCAAGUCUUCAGCUGCCUCUGGCUGUAAUUUCCCUCAUUACAAUAUCUGUAAUACUUAAAUAUGUUUCAGUAUCACCUUCAUGUUUGACAAAUUAUGUACCGUUACAUGUAAGAGUAUUCAUUCAUUCCUAUGUAAUAAUAGUAGAACCAAUAUUAUUCAAAAAAUAAAACAUUGAUGACUUGACUACUAACAGUAUAUUCAUGUAAAUGUUGAUGAAAAUGAAUGUUUGUAACCAAUUAUUGUAAUGAAUAAUUUAAAGACUUGUAUCCUUGGUGGACUUAAUUAUAAUUUGCACUCAUGUAAACUGUGUACAGUACUCAGUUUAAAAUGCUUCUUCUGUGUUAUCAUAACUAAUCUAUGCCGUUAUAACUCAUCUGUGUUGUUAUAACUCUUCUGUAUUAUUAUAAUUCAUCUGUGUUGUUAUAACUCAUCUAUGUUGUUAUAGCUCAUCAAUAUUGUCAUAACUAAUCUAUGCUGUUAUAACUCAUCUGUGUUGUUGUAACUCAUCUAUGCUGUUAUAACUCAUCUGUGUUGUUGUAACUCAUCUAUGUUGUUAUAACUCAUCUAUGCUGUUAUAACUCAUCUGUGUUGUUGUAACUCAUCUAUGUUGUUA
Molecule: long non-coding RNA, 964 nt
Organism: Cherax quadricarinatus
Lineage: Eukaryota; Metazoa; Arthropoda; Malacostraca; Decapoda; Parastacidae
Source: RefSeq, a predicted model, not a curated record